This 2881-nucleotide long non-coding RNA is filed under the name Erythranthe guttata (spotted monkey flower). RNAcentral's name for it is "long non-coding RNA (EGUT_LNC001709)". The record is from RNAcentral. Lineage: Eukaryota; Viridiplantae; Streptophyta; Magnoliopsida; Lamiales; Phrymaceae.
UUUACUCUCUCUUCCUCCACACUCCCUCCCCUUUCCCGUCAUUCUCACCGUCGAUUAAAUUGACGCUGUCAAUCUUCGCUCCCUAAGUUUACUCCCGUCGGUGCCGCCGUCAUUGCCCAUGUCCUUCCAGCCGCCGUCGUUGCCCAAGACCACGCCCCCUGCAGUCGCCGGCCGUCAUCUUCGUUUCCAAUCGCUGCCACUGCGUUCAGCUAGACGCCGUCCACCAUCUAUGAAGCCCAGCCCUCAAAACUCUAGGUAUUAAUUUACCUAUUUAUGAGGUAAAUAGCAGGCACCUAUAUAUGCAAUUUUAAUGCCCCAACUUCCGCAACACUCUUUGGUCUAUAAAUCCGACAUUUUGUAUGAUAAUGUAAGAUUUGACUAAUUUUUAAUUUAGCUUUCAUAUUUCAGGAGGUGAAAUAAUUUGUAUUAGGUUGUCUUGUCUAAUAUGAGAAUCAUAUGCGAUGAUUAUUUGGUAAAAUCCUUUCAAAUGAUGGGUAUUUGGUAGAGUUUUAUUUGGUUCCCUCAAUGUUAGAUAAUUAUUUUUCUUAAUAUCCUUUCUAGGGAGGAUAUGAGAUGAAUAUAUGUUUAUGUUAACUUAUAUUCCCAUUGAUUCUCCUUUUGCUACCAGGUGUUUAUCUAAUGAAGAUUCAUUAAUCCGUGUUUGAAGCUGUACUGUAGCUCGGUCCUAUCAACGGUGCACUCUCCGCUACAGCAUUCGAGGACCCUCCAAUUCUCAACAACGGGAACCAGACAAUCUUUAAACGGUAAAAAAUUCAGGAAAAGCGCUGCCGAAGAAGGUAAUAGCUUCUUCAAAUUUACUGUUGAUUUUAAGCUAAAUGGAUGAUUUUUAUGACUUAAUUGGCUUUUUAUUUGCUACUUUUGGUGGUGUAAUUUUACACUUUUUAGACCUAAUUGUAUCUAUUUAGACCUAAUUUUGUGUGGGCUGGUGAAUAGUGUCUAGCGUAAAGCAAUUAUUGCCCGUUUUCUCCUGUUAUUAUGAAUUAAUCGUUUAAAUCAGAACAUGGGUUUGUCUUCAGUAUUUUUCGAUUAGAAUUAGGAAUCAAGCUGCAAAUUUUUUGUUUAAUGUAUCUCUGCUUCAAUAGUAGUGUUUUUCUGUGUUUUGAUGAGCUAUUUAUUAUAAGAUACUUUGUCAGAAAUUAUUGAUUUUUUUAUAUUGUGAUAUUAUGUGGUAGGGUGUGGAGAAUGAGAUUUCUGUGCAGAAAUUGGUCUAUAAAAUUAAAUAAGUAUAUUAAAUGAAUUAUAGUAGAACAAGAGUAUAUUUUCGUGAAAGUCAAUGUGCAAAAAGGUCAGUAUCGCCGAGCAAUAAGUAAUGAGUGUUGGGCUCGUUUCCAUCUCGGAGCGAGAAAAUGUCGGGGUUCCUCGAAAUAACGGAGUCCUCGAAGUUAUCGGGCAAACCCAAUUCUCUCCAGACCUUGAAAAUGGCAUGAAGGGGCAGCUUUUUGGUGAGGGACAUCGAUAGGAGCUUGACCAAUCGGGUUACUGCGAGGGGCGUGGAUUUGUUUAAGGCGUCGGAUUCUUGGCGGACGAUUAGGCGAGCGGCGGGUGUGAGUGUGCAGUAGGGUUGGAGGUUAACGGGGUGGGUGAAAAUGUGGAAGAUGUGAGGGUAGGUGCGGAGGAAGGCGGAGGGGCCGCGGUUGAGGUGGAGUUUCUGAGAGAGGCGGUGGAGGAACUCGAUGGAGAUGGAAGGUGGAGUAGAUUGGGAGGCGAGGAUUAGAUCUUGUAUGGAGAUUACUUUGAGGAGGUUCUUGUAUUUCUCCAUUAGCUUUUCGAAUGUGGCGUCUCUGGCUCUGAAGGUCUGUUCCUUAUGUAUACGUGUCUAUAUGUUGGUAACUUGUGACAAAAUCUCAUAACUUGUUGGUCUCUUGGUUGUGAUUUAUUGCAAAGUGUUUCGUAUUUGUUACAUAUGUUUGAUCAUGGUAUUUUGUAUUUGCAGGCCCAACAAAAUUAGUUCUGAGCUUAAUAUUAAAGAAAAAAUCCAUAAUGAACAAGGAUUAAAUUUCACAAACUAAUUUUUCUUUGCUUUUAACAUGUCUGUAAGAUUAUGGUUCUUGGUAAACAUUGUUUAAUUUAACAUCUUUUUGUUAUAUAUUCAACAGGGAUGUAUGCUAAGAUACAAUGCCGAUUACUGAUGCACUUCUUGGAUUUAUGAUGAAAUAGUGGCAAUUUAUCGUCGCUUUUUUUUCUUGAUACUCUAUCUGUCGGUAGAAGAAUUCCCCUGCUCAAGGUACGUACCUCACUAUUUAUAAGUUGCUUUCUUGAAUAGGAAGAAUUAUUUACUUGCUCUGCUUCAAGAUCUAAUUUCUAGGAGAACGUGAUUAGAAGUGGUAAUUUAAGCAUGUUACUUCUCUAUAAUGUGUGGAUAAUGAUUAUCCCCGUUCAUUUUUGUUUAAGCUUUAACUGUGUUUUUUUAAUAAUGAAAGAUGGUAAAAAUUUCGGUUUAUGAUUCUUCGUGUAAAUUAUAAAUUGGGUAUGAAUAACACGGUAAAUUUUAGGCAAUAGGCUUCGUUUUAUAUGCAUCAUUUGGUUUGAUAGCAGUUUCUUCAUGUUAGAUAGUAGUUGUUGAUGUUGAUCGAUGUAAUGGAUUAUACACUUCUUCUUUAUUUUAUUUUAUUUUAUUUAAUAUUGUGAACUUGUACUCGUUCGUAUUUAUACGUAAUUCUUAUAUACUUAAAUAUUUUUUUCAGGCACGCUUGGAAAUAGUUUAUGAUCAAGUGGAUAACUAAUGAUGAAUGGAUAAAAGAAUGUGGAUCAACUCCUUUAUGUAAUUCUACAAUAUUUUUCUUAAUUUUUGUAUUUUUUUUAACUUUAUUUGGAUGUAUUUGACCUUAAAUUACAAUUUUAAUGUGAUGUGUUAUUAUAU